GACGUAGGGCGCAAGCGUUGUCCGGAUUUAUUGGGCGUAAAGAGCUCGUAGGCGGCUUGUUGCGUCGACCGUGAAAACCCGCGGCUCAACUGCGGGCUUGCGGUCGAUACGGGCAGGCUGGAGUUCGGUAGGGGAGACUGGAAUUCCUGGUGUAGCGGUGAAAUGCGCAGAUAUCAGGAGGAACACCGGUGGCGAAGGCGGGUCUCUGGGCCGAUACUGACGCUGAGGAGCGAAAGCGUGGGGAGCGAACAGG
RNAcentral lists this ribosomal RNA (253 nucleotides) under uncultured bacterium. Its description in RNAcentral is "partial 16S ribosomal RNA". It matches the Rfam family "Bacterial small subunit ribosomal RNA", at positions 524 to 776 of the family's 1533-position model. The record is from RNAcentral.